CCAGCCCGCUCAGAAACUCAAGGAAUUGACGGGGGCCCGCACAAGCGGAGGAGCAUGUGGUUUAAUUCGAUGAUACGCGAGGAACCUUACCUGGGCUCGAACGUAAGAUGACUGUAGGUGAAAGCUUACAUCUCUUCGGAGCAUUUUACGAGGUGCUGCAUGGUUGUCGUCAGCUCGUGCCGUGAGGUGUCGGGUUAAGUCCCAUAACGAGCGCAACCCCUACCUUUAGUUGCCAUCAGGUAAUGCUGGGGACUCUAAAGGAACUGCCUACGCAAGUAGUGAGGAAGGCGGGGAUGACGUCAAAUCAGCACGGCCCUUACGUCCAGGGCUACACACGUGCUACAAUGGCCGAUACAGAGGGCAGCUACCUGGUGACAGGAUGCAAAUCUCCAAAGUCGGUCUCAGUUCGGAUCGGAGUCUGCAACCCGACUCCGUGAAGUUGGAUUCGCUAGUAAUCGCGCAUCAGCCAUGGCGCGGUGAAUACGUUCCCGGGCCUU
RNAcentral lists this ribosomal RNA (497 nucleotides) under uncultured Sphingobacteriales bacterium. RNAcentral describes it as "bacterial SSU rRNA". It matches the Rfam family "Bacterial small subunit ribosomal RNA", at positions 904 to 1382 of the family's 1533-position model. Lineage: Bacteria; Pseudomonadati; Bacteroidota; Sphingobacteriia; Sphingobacteriales. The record is from RNAcentral.